GGCUCCAUAGCUCUGCGGUUAGAGCACCUGUCUAGUAAAAAGGAGGUCGAGGGUUUGAUCCCCUCUGGAGCCU
Non-coding RNA from Mercenaria mercenaria, 73 nucleotides. NCBI's taxonomy places the organism in Eukaryota, Metazoa, Mollusca, Bivalvia, Venerida, Veneridae. The record is from the annotation of a RefSeq genome assembly.